Molecule: small RNA, 879 nt
Filed under: uncultured Basidiomycota
Lineage: Eukaryota; Fungi; Basidiomycota
Description: eukaryotic LSU rRNA
Rfam family: 5.8S ribosomal RNA (bases 316-469)
Source: RNAcentral
AUUCUUGGUCAUUUAGAGGAAGUAAAAGUCGUAACAAGGUUUCCGUAGGUGAACCUGCGGAAGGAUCAUUAUUGAAUGAAUCGGGGAACUGUUGCUGGCCCGUCAAAGGGCAUGUGCACGCUCCCCAAUUUUCCUUCUCCACCUGUGCACCCUUUGUAGACUUUGGAAGACCUCUCGAGGCAACUCGGAUGGAGGGUCGCUGAUUCGUUUCWGCUUCCCUUGCGCUUCCAGGUCUAUGCAUUUUUAUACACACUUUAAAUGUCUCAGAAUGUCUUUCAUGGCUUGCUGUAAAAAGCAAAGCUUUAAACUUAAUACAACUUUCAACAACGGAUCUCUUGGCUCUCGCAUCGAUGAAGAACGCAGCGAAAUGCGAUAAGUAAUGUGAAUUGCAGAAUUCAGUGAAUCAUCGAAUCUUUGAACGCACCUUGCGCUCCUUGGUAUUCCGAGGAGCAUGCCUGUUUGAGUGUCAUUAAAUUCUCAACCUCUCCAGCUUUUUUGGCUGGGUGAGGAUUGGAUGUGGGGGUGUGCUGGCUUCGUCAAAGAGGUCGGCUCCCCUUAAAUGCAUUAGCGGGAACGUCUUGCGGACCGUCACUUGGUGUGAUAAUUAUCUACGCCUCAUGACUGCGAUGCUCUUGUUCUGCUUCUAACCGUCCAUUGACUUGGACAAGCUUUUUGACAAUUUGACCUCAAAUCAGGUAGGACUACCCGCUGAACUUAAGCAUAUCAAUAAGCGGAGGAAAAGAAACUAACAAGGAUUCCCCUAGUAACUGCGAGUGAAGCGGGAAAAGCUCAAAUUUAGAAUCUGGCGGUCUUUGGCUGUCCGAGUUGUAAUUUAGAGAAGUGUUAUCCGCGCUGGACCGUGUACAAGUCUCCUGGAAU